Molecule: non-coding RNA, 291 nt
Organism: Pelobates cultripes (western spadefoot toad)
Lineage: Eukaryota; Metazoa; Chordata; Amphibia; Anura; Pelobatidae
Source: the annotation of a GenBank genome assembly
UUGCAAGUUUUGUUUAAUUAAGAUUUUCUUAUCCCCUGCUAUGUUAAUAGCUUGCUAGACCCUGCAAGAGCCUCCUGUAUGUGAUUAAAGUUCAAUUUAGAGAUUGAGAUACAAUUAUUUAAGGUAAAUUACAUCUGUUUGAAAGGGAAACCAGUUUUUUUUUUUUUUCAUGCAGGCUCUGUCAGUCAUAGCCAGGGGAGGUGUGGCUAGGGCUGCAUAAACAGAAACGAAGUGAUUUAACUCCUAAAUGGCGGUGAAUUGAGCAGUGAAAUUGCAGGGGAAUGAUCUAUA